AGAAUCAACGCUGGCGGCGUGCCUAACACAUGCAAGUCGAACGAGAAAGUGGAGCAAUCCAUGAGUACAGUGGCGUACGGGUGAGUAACACGUGACUAACCUACCCUCGAGUGGGGAAUAACCUCGGGAAACCGGGGCUAAUACCGCAUAACAUCUUCGGAUCAAAUGCGUAAGCAGCUUGAGGAGGGGGUCGCGGCCGAUUAGCUAGUUGGCGGGGUAAUGGCCUACCAAGGCAAUGAUCGGUAGCCGGCCUGAGAGGGCGCACGGCCACACUGGAACUGAAACACGGUCCAGACUCCUACGGGAGGCAGCAGUGGGGAAUUUUGCGCAAUGGGGGGAAACCCUGACGCAGCAACGCCGCGUGGAGGAUGAAGCCCCUUGGGGUGUAAACUCCUUUCGAUCGGGACGAUUAUGACGGUACCGGAUGAAGAAGCACCGGCUAACUCUGCGCCAGCAGCCGC
RNAcentral lists this ribosomal RNA (461 nucleotides) under uncultured bacterium. Its description in RNAcentral is "SSU rRNA". It matches the Rfam family "Bacterial small subunit ribosomal RNA", at positions 26 to 518 of the family's 1533-position model. The record is from RNAcentral.